Ochotona princeps (American pika) is the source of this 245-nucleotide long non-coding RNA. RefSeq lists it as uncharacterized. Lineage: Eukaryota; Metazoa; Chordata; Mammalia; Lagomorpha; Ochotonidae. The record is from RefSeq and is a predicted model, not a curated record. The transcript has 3 exons.
CCGUAGCCAGGGUGAUUAUGUUUCAUGGUGUGCUGGAGACAAUCUUGGGCAAAAUGUGUUGUCCUGGCAUGCUUAUCAGUGCUGCUCUCAUUCAUCUGCUACAGAAGUUUCAUUUGUCCACUGUGUGAAUUCAUCAUGGUGAACAGUCUUCAGCCAUUGUAGUGGAAAUUCUUCUUCAGUUGACAAUGACAGAUCUACAGAGAGGAGGAGAGACAGAGAGAAAGAUCUUUCUUCUGCUGAUUCAC